AACGAACGCUGGCGGCAUGCCUAACACAUGCAAGUCGAACGAGACCUUCGGGUCUAGUGGCGCACGGGUGCGUAACGCGUGGGAACCUGCCCUUAGGUUCGGAAUAACUCCCCGAAAGGGGUGCUAAUACCGGAUAAUGUCUUCGGACCAAAGAUUUAUCGCCUUUGGAUGGGCCCGCGUUGGAUUAGCUAGUUGGGAGGGUAAAAGCCUACCAAGGCGACGAUCCAUAGCUGGUCUGAGAGGAAGAUCCGCCACACUGGGACUGAGACACGGCCCAGACUCCCUCGGGAGGCAGGAGGGGGGAAUAUUUGACCAUGGGCCGAAGGCCGGACCAACAAUGCCGGGUGGAUGAAGGAGGCCUUUGGGUUGUAAAGCUUUUUUAACCGGGAAGAAAAUGACAGUACCGGGAGAAUAAGCUCCGGCUAACUCCGUG
Molecule: ribosomal RNA, 433 nt
Filed under: uncultured bacterium
Lineage: Bacteria
Description: partial 16S ribosomal RNA
Rfam family: Bacterial small subunit ribosomal RNA
Source: RNAcentral